CUCUAAUCUGCUGCCUGAGAAGGACAAGCCUGACUGUCGGCCGCACCACAGGGCGAGAUCAAAUCCUUCUAUACUUUGGAAUCAGCCAAAAGAAAAAUGAGGAAAUGCAUUGACAUCAUCCUACAAAUCAUGAUUGACUUCUGCUUUGGAACAGAGGUCCCCUGGACGGCUUCCCACAUGUCACAUCACACACCGAUGUACGAGGCAGAGCCCAAAGGCCACGCUUUUGAAAAAAGGAAAACAAGAACAAGCCCUGUUGCUCUGUACGGAGAGAGGAAGGAGCAGAGGCUGC
This is a long non-coding RNA of Suricata suricatta (meerkat), 292 nucleotides long. RefSeq lists it as uncharacterized. NCBI's taxonomy places the organism in Eukaryota, Metazoa, Chordata, Mammalia, Carnivora, Herpestidae. The transcript is spliced from 3 exons. The record is from RefSeq and is a predicted model, not a curated record.